CAGCAGCCACGGUAAUACAGAGGGUGCAAGCGUUAAUCGGAAUUACUGGGCGUAAAGCGUGCGUAGGCGGCUUCUUAAGUCGGAUGUGAAAUCCCUGAGCUUAACUUAGGAAUUGCAUUCGAUACUGGGAAGCUAGAGUAUGGGAGAGGAUGGUAGAAUUCCAGGUGUAGCGGUGAAAUGCGUAGAGAUCUGGAGGAAUACCGAUGGCGAAGGCAGCCAUCUGGCCUAAUACUGACGCUGAGGUACGAAAGCAUGGGGAGCAAACAGGAUUAGAUACCCCCGUAGUCCCUGUCUCUUAUAC
RNAcentral lists this ribosomal RNA (301 nucleotides) under uncultured bacterium. RNAcentral's name for it is "partial 16S ribosomal RNA". It matches the Rfam family "Bacterial small subunit ribosomal RNA", at positions 509 to 807 of the family's 1533-position model. The record is from RNAcentral.